Molecule: transfer RNA, 77 nt
Filed under: Clostridiales bacterium
Lineage: Bacteria; Bacillati; Bacillota; Clostridia; Eubacteriales
Description: tRNA-Arg
Rfam family: tRNA
About the family: Transfer RNA (tRNA) molecules are approximately 80 nucleotides in length. Their secondary structure includes four short double-helical elements and three loops (D, anti-codon, and T loops).
Source: RNAcentral
GCGCCUGUAGCUCAGCCGGAUAGAGUGACUGACUACGAAUCAGUAGGUCGUGAGUUCGAGUCUCGCCGGGCGCACCA